This 3457-nucleotide ribosomal RNA is filed under the name Parasutterella excrementihominis. RNAcentral's name for it is "23S ribosomal RNA". It matches the Rfam family "Bacterial large subunit ribosomal RNA". The record is from RNAcentral. Lineage: Bacteria; Pseudomonadati; Pseudomonadota; Betaproteobacteria; Burkholderiales; Sutterellaceae.
GUUAUAGGAUCAAGUGACUAAGUGCAUGCGGCGGAUGCCUUGGCGAUCACAGGCGAAGAAAGACGCGGCAGCCUGCGAAAAGCUGCGGGGAGCUGGCAAACGAGCUUUGAUCCGCAGAUAUCUGAAUGGGGGAACCCACACCGCAAGGUGUAUCCGUAACUGAAUACAUAGGUUACGGAGGCGAACGAGGAGAACUGAAACAUCUAAGUAUCCUCAGGAAAAGAAAUCAACCGAGAUUCCGGCAGUAGCGGCGAGCGAACCCGGAGGAGCCCAGCUUUUGAUAGUACGAACUUUAGCCGAAAGGACCUGGAAAGGCCUGCUAUAGUGGGUGAUAGCCCCGUAGGCGAAAGAGUUGGUACGGUACUAAGGAAGCGAGAAGUAGAGCGGGACACGUGGAAUCCUGUUCGAAGACGGGGGGACCAUCCUCCAAGGCUAAAUACUCGUGAUCGACCGAUAGUGAACCAGUACCGUGAGGGAAAGGCGAAAAGAACCCCGGGAGGGGAGUGAAAUAGAACCUGAAACCGCAUGCAUACAAACAGUAGGAGCCUUUACGGAGGUGACUGCGUACCUUUUGCAUAAUGGGUCAGCGACUUACAUUCUGUGGCGAGCUUAACCGAAUAGGGGAGGCGCAGCGAAAGCGAGUUCGAAAUGAGCGUNAAGGAAGCGAGAAGUAGAGCGGGACACGUGGAAUCCUGUUCGAAGACGGGGGGACCAUCCUCCAAGGCUAAAUACUCGUGAUCGACCGAUAGUGAACCAGUACCGUGAGGGAAAGGCGAAAAGAACCCCGGGAGGGGAGUGAAAUAGAACCUGAAACCGCAUGCAUACAAACAGUAGGAGCCUUUACGGAGGUGACUGCGUACCUUUUGCAUAAUGGGUCAGCGACUUACAUUCUGUGGCGAGCUUAACCGAAUAGGGGAGGCGCAGCGAAAGCGAGUUCGAAAUGAGCGUUCAGUCGCAGGGUGUAGACCCGAAACCAGAUGAGCUAUCCAUGGCCAGGUUGAAGGUGUGGUAACACACACUGGAGGACCGAACCGACUAGUGUUGCAAAAUUAGCGGAUGAGCUGUGGAUAGGGGUGAAAGGCCAAACAAAUCUGGAGAUAGCUGGUUCNUCAGAGGUGACUGCGUACCUUUUGCAUAAUGGGUCAGCGACUUACAUUCUGUGGCGAGCUUAACCGAAUAGGGGAGGCGCAGCGAAAGCGAGUUCGAAAUGAGCGUUCAGUCGCAGGGUGUAGACCCGAAACCAGAUGAGCUAUCCAUGGCCAGGUUGAAGGUGUGGUAACACACACUGGAGGACCGAACCGACUAGUGUUGCAAAAUUAGCGGAUGAGCUGUGGAUAGGGGUGAAAGGCCAAACAAAUCUGGAGAUAGCUGGUUCUCCCCGAAAACUAUUGAGGUAGUGCCUCGUGUGUCGCUCCAGGGGGUAGAGCACUGUUUUGGCUAGGGGGACAUGGAGUCUUACCAAACCAAGGCAAACUCCGAAUACCUGGAAGCGUAAGCACGGGAGACAGAGCACCGGGUGCUAACGUCCGGACUCAAAAGGGAAACAACCCAGACCGCCGGCUAAGGUCCCAAAUAACAGCUAAGUGGAAAACGAAGUGGAAAGGCCGUGACAACCAGGAAGUUGGCUUAGAAGCAGCCAUCCUUCAAAGAAAGCGUAAUAGCUCACUGGUCGAGUCCUUCUGCGCGGAAGAUGUAACGGGGCUAAGCUGUUAACCGAAGCCGCGGAUGCGCUGGUUAUCCAGUGCGUGGUAGGGGAGCGUUCUGUAAGUCUGCGAAGGCGGUUCGAGAGGACUGCUGGAGAUAUCAGAAGUGCGAAUGCUGACAUGAGUAACGUUAAAGCAGGUGAAAAGCCUGCUCGCCGUAAGCCCAAGGAUUCCUGCUCUACGUUCAUCGGAGCAGGGUGAGUCGGCUCCUAAGGUCAGGCCGAAAGGCGUAGCCGAUGGGAAUCAGGUUAAUAUUCCUGAACCUGCGUCAGAUGCGAUGGGGGGACGGAGCAUGGAAGAUCAUCCGGGUGUUGGAAGUCCCGGUUGUUUAGCGUAGGAGGUCUGCAGGCAAAUCCGCAGACGCAUCUCCAAGGCAAAGACACGUGCCGCCACGGCGGCGAAGUGAUCGGAAGUGCUUCCAAGAAAAGCCUCUAAGCCCCAGUCUGACGCGGACCGUACCGCAAACCGACACUGGUGGGCGAGCUGAAUAUGCUCAGGCGCUUGAGAGAACUCGGGAGAAGGAACUCGGCAAAUUGACACCGUAACUUCGGAAGAAGGUGUGCCGUAGUACCGUGAGAGGAGAGACACCUUGAGCGGGAAACGGUCUCAGAGAAUAGGUGGCUGCGACUGUUUAUUAAAAACACAGCACUCUGCAAAGUCGAAAGACGACGUAUAGGGUGUGAUGCCUGCCCGGUGCUGGAAGAUUAAUUGAUGGGGUGAGAGCCCUUGAUCGAAGUCCCAGUAAACGGCGGCCGUAACUAUAACGGUCCUAAGGUAGCGAAAUUCCUUGUCGGGUAAGUUCCGACCUGCACGAAUGGCAUAACGAUGGCCACACUGUCUCCUCCCGAGACUCAGUGAAGUUGAAAUGUUUGUGAUGAUGCAAUCUACCCGCGGCUAGACGGAAAGACCCCAUGAACCUUUACUGCAGCUUUGCAUUGAACUGUGAACCGAUUUGUGUAGGAUAGGUGGGAGGCAGAGAAGAGGCCACGCCAGUGGCCUUGGAGCCGACCUUGAAAUACCACCCUGAUUUGUUUGCGGUUCUAACCACGGACAGUGAUCCUGUCUUGGGACCGUGCAUGGUAGGCAGUUUGACUGGGGCGGUCUCCUCCUAAAGGGUAACGGAGGAGUACGAAGGUACGCUAGGUACGGUCGGAAAUCGUGCUGAUAGUGCAAUGGCAAAAGCGUGCUUGACUGCGAGAGCAACAACUCGAGCAGAUGCGAAAGCAGGUCAUAGUGAUCCGGUGGCUCUGAAUGGAAGGGCCAUCGCUCAACGGAUAAAAGGUACUCUGGGGAUAACAGGCUGAUACCGCCCAAGAGUUCAUAUCGACGGCGGUGUUUGGCACCUCGAUGUCGGCUCAUCUCAUCCUGGGGCUGUAGUCGGUCCCAAGGGUAUGGCUGUUCGCCAUUUAAAGAGGUACGUGAGCUGGGUUUAAAACGUCGUGAGACAGUUUGGUCCCUAUCUGCCGUGGGCGUUGGAAGAUUGACGGGGGCUGCUCCUAGUACGAGAGGACCGGAGUGGACGCACCUCUGGUGUACCGGUUGUCACGCCAGUGGCAUUGCCGGGUAGCUAAGUGCGGAAGAGAUAACCGCUGAAAGCAUCUAAGCGGGAAACUUGCCUGAAGAUGAGUCUUCCCGGAGGUUGAACCUCCCUCAAGAGUCGUCCGAGACCAGGACGUCGAUAGGUCAGGUGUGUAAGCGCUGUAAGGCGUUAAGCUAACUGAUACUAAUUGCUCGUGAGGCUUGAUCCUAUAACC